RNAcentral lists this transfer RNA (65 nucleotides) under Pedetontinus luanchuanensis. RNAcentral describes it as "tRNA-Leu". Lineage: Eukaryota; Metazoa; Arthropoda; Insecta; Archaeognatha; Machilidae. The record is from RNAcentral.
ACUAACUUGGCAGAUAAGUGCAUCGGAUUUAAGCUCUGAAUAUAAAACUUAAGUUUUAUUUAGUA